AUUUUAAAUUAUUUAAUUAUUUAAUAAAAAUAAUUUUAAAAUUAAAAUUUUAAGUAAUGUUUAAAGAAAAAAUUUUAUUUAUUAUAGUAAAAUAGUAUUGUAAGAGAUUAUAUAAAUUUAGAAUUUAAUAUAAAGUAAAAUUAAUUUUUUGUACCUUGUGUAUCAGGGUUUAUUAAUAAAAAGUUAAUUAAUUAAUUUUCUCGAAUUUAAAAGAGUUAAUAAGUUAUAUUUAUUAUUGUUAAAUAAAUAUAUUAAAUAAUUUAUUAGUAAUGAAAAGUUAUUCGGUUUUAAAGUUAUCUAGUUAAUUUAGAAAUGAAUUUAAUUCAAAUAAAAAAUUUAAAUAUAUUAUUUUAGAUAAUUUAUUUAAGUUUAUUAUUAAUAAUUUAAGGGAUAAGCUUUAAAUUAAAAAUUUAAAAAUUAUAAAAUAAUUUUAAAGUUAUAAGUUUAGAAAUAUUUAAUAAUAAUAAUAUGUUAUAAUUAAUUUAAUGUAUAAUAUUAUUUUAUAUUAAUUUUAAUUUUUUAUAAAUUAAUAAUUUAAAAUUUUAUAAAAUUAGAUUUAAUGAUAAAAUUAGUAUAUAUUUUUAUUGUAUAAAUAAAAAUUUUAAAAAGAUUAUUUAAAGGAAUUCAGCAAAAAUUUUAUUCGCCUGUUUAACAAAAACAUGUCUUUUUGAAUUUAAAUUUAAAGUUUAACCUGCCCACUGAAAUUUUAAAUGGCCGCAGUAAUUUGACUGUGCAAAGGUAGCAUAAUCAUUAGUUUUUUAAUUAAAAACUUGUAUGAAAGGUUGGACGAAAUAAAUUCUGUCUUUAUUUAAUUUAAAGUAAAAUUUAAUUUUUAAGUUAAAAAGCUUAAAUAAAUUUAAAAGACGAGAAGACCCUAUAGAUCUUUAUAAAUUAAUAUAUAUAUAUAAUAUAUAAUAUAAAUUAAUUUAUUUUAUUGGGGUAAUAUAAAGAUUUAAUAAAUUCUUUAAAUUUUAAACAAAAAUUUUUGAAUUAUUUGAUCUUAAAUAAAGAUUAUAAGAUUAAGUUACCUUAGGGAUAACAGCGUUAUUUUUUUAGAGAGUUCUUAUCGAUAAAAAAGUUUGCGACCUCGAUGUUGGAUUAAAGAUAAUUUUAGGUGUAGAAAUUUAAAAAUUAGGUCUGUUCGACCUUUAAUUCUUUACAUGAUCUGAGUUCAGACCGGUGUAAGCCAGGUCGGUUUCUAUCUUUAAAAUAAAUAAUUUAUUUUAGUACGAAAGGACCAAAUAAUAUAUAUAUAUAUAUAUAUAAUUGAAUAUUAAU
This 1278-nucleotide ribosomal RNA is filed under the name Omoglymmius wukong. RNAcentral's name for it is "16S ribosomal RNA". The record is from RNAcentral. Lineage: Eukaryota; Metazoa; Arthropoda; Insecta; Coleoptera; Carabidae.